Long non-coding RNA from Cloeon dipterum, 438 nucleotides. RefSeq lists it as uncharacterized. Lineage: Eukaryota; Metazoa; Arthropoda; Insecta; Ephemeroptera; Baetidae. The record is from RefSeq and is a predicted model, not a curated record. The transcript is spliced from 3 exons.
UCCUCUGUUACUUACAGGUUGCUACUCAUUGACGUAAAGGAGUACAGCCCUGAGAAAACGUGCCAACUUACUUUUUCAACAACCUGCCCAAACGACUCAAAAACUAUAAAACGUUCGUGAUGGGCUGCAGCUGAUUGAAUUGCAAACCUGACAACAUCAACGCAAUAACCAUCACUAUGAAAAAGGAAUCUCGCUACAAAUGAGAGAAAAUAAUAUAAGAACGACCCAAAAUCAAAAGGAAAUUUCUACAAAGAGCGCUCGUGUUGUGACACUUCUUCGUCGGCCCCAACGCCACCGACCGCAACCCAGGACACCCAGGAGCCGUACUACUUGAUAAUUAAUUAAGGAAGACCAGAAAAGUUAAAGUUUGGCAGACUAUUGAAUGUUAAAAUUGUUCUGCACUGUUUAAUUUUAAGCCAUUUUAUCUAGUAACUUUAA